UUUGAUGUAACUGUUAAGACCGUCUGUGGGAUAAAGCUUUAUCCCAAAGGGCCUCAUGAUUCAAGUUCGCUAAGAAAUUUCUUAAUAAGGAACUCGAAUCAUUCACAGUUUUUAAGUUUUCUAAUAAAAGUUCCAAGUCCGUUGUGGAUUUACACUCCACGUCCAGAUUAUCCCGGGCCAGUUGCCUGGCCAAAGCAUCAAAGUCGAAAUUGGAAAAAUCCAGUUCUGGAAAAGCCCCGACAACGCUCUUCCGCGCACAAAACUUUUUCAGAUGUUUGUGAAGAACCGCUUCGAUCCUAUUUUCGAGCCUUUUUUCUUCUUCUGUCCGGUGAGGCGCAGAGGAAGAAGGGACUUCCCGUUUUUGUUCGUGCUGGN
This 375-nucleotide long non-coding RNA is filed under the name Olea europaea (common olive). Its description in RNAcentral is "long non-coding RNA (OEUR_LNC014052)". Lineage: Eukaryota; Viridiplantae; Streptophyta; Magnoliopsida; Lamiales; Oleaceae. The record is from RNAcentral.